RNAcentral lists this unclassified non-coding RNA (575 nucleotides) under Rhipicephalus microplus (southern cattle tick). Its description in RNAcentral is "uncharacterized LOC119178681, transcript variant X2". The record is from RNAcentral. Lineage: Eukaryota; Metazoa; Arthropoda; Arachnida; Ixodida; Ixodidae.
UCGUGAACUGGUUCACGUGGUGCAGGCGAAUCGAACGGACCUUGUAGCAAGGGUGCAGGCAGGAGGAAAUGCGGAAAACAAAGCUAGCUGGUUGUGAAAGGCGGUUCUGAAUUUCAUGACAAAGUUGCAGGGAUGCCGAAGCGUGUGGCCAUCGACAGAAAAUCGGAACGCAUGCAUUUUUACAGACGGAGGAAUUCAGCUUUGGAUUCAUGUGCAGCACAUGGCCUCUCAUGUUCUCACUGCCCAGCAGUCGACAUUGCCAUGCUUUCGUGCUGUAUCAUCACCUACACUCACACACAUCACAUCUGCUGUUAGUGUACCUGUCAGCCUUUCCUACAAACGGGCAAGCCACUUUUCGAAAAGGAAGCACAUGGUGCAUGCCAGCUGUGCAAAUAGCUGCAUAUACAUGCAGCCUACUGCUCUGGCCGCGCUUUUCACGGAAACCUUGGUGUCCUUGGCGGAACCACGUGGCUUCAGGGGAGCACCUUAGCAAGGUGACAGCGUUCGCGAAGAAGAGAAACCGAUAAAAAAACAACAACAAACCAAAGAAAUAAAUAACUGUGGGUGAAAGGAGA